GAUGAACGCUAGCUACAGGCUUAACACAUGCAAGUCGAGGGGAAACGAUAUUGGAAGCUUGCUUCCGAUAGGCGUCGACCGGCGCACGGGUGAGUAACGCGUAUCCAACCUGCCCACCACUUGGGGAUAACCUUGCGAAAGUAAGACUAAUACCCAAUGAUAUCUCUAGAAGACAUCUGAAAGGGAUUAAAGAUUUAUGGGUGAUGGAUGGGGAUGCGUCUGAUUAGCUUGUUGGCGGGGUAACGGCCCACCAAGGCUACGGUCAGUAGGGGGUCUGAGAGGAAGGUCCCCCACAUUGGAACUGAGACACGGUCCAAACUCCUACGGGAGGCAGCAGUGAGGAAUAUUGGUCAAUGGGCGAGAGCCUGAACCAGCCAAGUAGCGUGCAGGAUGACGGCCCUAUGGGUUGUAAACUGCUUUUAUAAGGGAACAAAGUGAGUCUCGUGAGACUUUUUGCAUGUACCUUAUGAAUAAGGACCGGCUAAUUCCGUGCCAGCAGCCGCCGUAA
Molecule: ribosomal RNA, 508 nt
Filed under: uncultured bacterium
Lineage: Bacteria
Description: partial 16S ribosomal RNA
Rfam family: Bacterial small subunit ribosomal RNA
Source: RNAcentral